This 811-nucleotide long non-coding RNA is filed under the name Marmota monax (woodchuck). The record is from RNAcentral. Lineage: Eukaryota; Metazoa; Chordata; Mammalia; Rodentia; Sciuridae.
AGAGGACUCAGCCUUGAAGUAUGGUUUGAUCUGUGUCACUUCCAUUGACUGCAUGCACACAUAGUCGUUCUUAAUUCUCAUGGGAUUCUUGGCGGAGCAAAAUCAUCUUCUCAGAAGAGACAAGCGCCACCUACUGGUAGACCCCCAAACUCUUCCUCCUCCCCGGCUUAUUUUUAACCAGCAAUUUGGAUGAUGGCUACAGGUUCUUUUCAUGUUUUUGUCUUCAGUGUCUUCCAAACAUUUCAUGAAGUAACAGUCGAAAGUAUUGAGAAAGGGGGAAAAUAGGGAUAUUUUCAGUUCAAAAUGUUGACUGUUAGAAGAAAAUGAUUGAUUUAAUCGAUAGAUUAAAAAAAUUGAAGCCUUUAAAAAAUUAUUCUAACACCCAGAAAAGAUACCACAUCAACAAGACUUUUACAUUUAAGACCCAACUCUGUGGAACAUGGUGGCAUUCAUCUGUAAUCCCAGCGACUGGGGAGGAAGGCCUGGUUGAGCAAGAGAAGCACAAGUUCAAGUCCAGCUUGGUCAACUUAGGGAGCCUCUAUUGCAAAAUUUCUUUUAAAAAAAAAAUUAAAAGAUUGAGAGAUGUAGCCUAGGUACAGAAUGUCCCUGAGAUCAAUCCUCAGGUGGGAGGAGGGGACCUUAUAAGUCUUGCUUGAAAUGUGGAGUUCUGGACAAUUUCAUAAAAACCAAAAUUAUUAAGAAUUAAGAAUGGGAGACAGAUUUGGGGGUGAUUGUUCCCCACAUGCAUCUCUGGAAAUCAGCAAGAAUUCUCUUUUGAAUUCUCUUUGAGAGAAUUCAACAUAGACUGAAG